AUUGGGUAAAAAAGGGGGUAAAAAUAAUCCCUCUGCAAACAUCAGGUGAAGGUGGGAAAUUGAGCUCACUUGCUCUCAGCAUCGUAGAUAUCAGUUACGAGGUAAAAGCCAUGGGCAAAAGCACCAGCCAAAACCGCCGUGAACAGCCGAUCCCUCACAACAGGGUUUUUCCGCAGCGCAAUUCUGAUGAGAGGAAGAGCAGGGGCAUAAACGAGAGGAACCAAGAACUUGAAUGGGGCUGAUUGCUUCUUGGGAACAGCCUCCCGAGAACUGGGAUCGACGUGUGCGGCCAUGGCGGCGUUGGAACCGGCGGCUGUCGAUGUGAUGGCAGGCGGCGGCUUUUGGAAAAACAACUUCAG
RNAcentral lists this unclassified non-coding RNA (359 nucleotides) under Hevea brasiliensis (rubber tree). Lineage: Eukaryota; Viridiplantae; Streptophyta; Magnoliopsida; Malpighiales; Euphorbiaceae. The record is from RNAcentral.